ACAACUCCACACCCGAUGCCUCCGGCCUCUGUCUCGGCGUAGUCCCGACCGUCGGCCCCUGUUCCCCAUCUCUGCUGUGCGCAGCCGCCGUGGUGACGCACCAACAGUCGCACCUCCUUACGCCCCAGCUAUGCCACCCCCCCCCCCUAGCCAGUCACUCCAACGACGACGCAGCGGCGGCCGGAUCCACGCAGUAUGGCGCGGCGGCGUCAAAAUCCAGGAUGGCGAAGAUGUGCAGCAUUUCCCGCCGGACCAAGCAGCUGCCCUAGGGUUGAAGUCCUCUUCCAGCGGCGCAACCUACAGCGUCGACAGCAGAACCUCGGCACCUCCCCCGCGAGCGCCGCCCAAGGAAGCCACAUCCCUCGCACGUGAAUCUGUUUACAAGCACACUUCCCCGAGGUCGAUGAUGUUCCCCGAUGUGAUGCCUCACGGCGGCGCGGAAGGCUAGAGCGCGCUCGUCGUCCGCCGGCUUGGACGAUGCUGGCUAUGUUUCUGCCGCGUGUGGUUCGAGGCGGCGCUCCUCCUAGGCGCAGGCAGACGGCGUCAACAACCAGCGAUGGACAAGCUAGCACUGUGCUGCUGCCGAAGCAGUUUUGCAGCUCCCUCAGAACGGAGAUGUGCGUCACAUGUGCCAUAGCCACGCGGUCUCAUGUGCGUCCCGCUCACAACGAGCGCCGCCCAAGCCUCGUUUGAUCUCUUUUCCGACAGGUGGGCCCCGAAAACACUGACGUGGCGUGCGGACAGGCAAACGGCGCCGUUAGGAACAAAACAGUCAAGGCGCCGCGCUGGUCGGUCCUGUCGGUGCUCGCCAGAUAGAUGCCCCGCGCCCUCUCUCUCUCUCCCGCCCCUCUCCUCUGCCUCCUCUCUCUGGCUCUGGUCGCCGUCGGUGAGAAGCCAGCUGGCCGCCGUCCGCCAUGGUUUCGUGGAGCGAUGACAGCGAUGAAUCGGGCUACGAGUACUCUUCAGGCGGCUCCCCUAUCAAGAUCCCGGCUACAAUCGAGGACCCGAACUACUCUGGUGUUGAUGAUGAGGUGAUGGUGAUGUGUGAGCAUGGCCAGCUGGCGAAGAGGCAUGUUUGCUUCGAAGGGAUUAGCACUGGGAGGAGUUCAUUGCCUAUGGACUUGAUGAAGCAAGCAGUUGUGGUGUUGUUCAUUGGGUAGAUGAGGAGUGGCCAGAGCAUCUGCAGAAUGCUCUUCACAAACUAUGGCUUUUGUAUGAGGAUUGCCAGCGUGCUAAUAGGAUGGCAUGUCUGGAACAUUCAUCACUUGUCCACAAUCUCACAUCACAGAAGAACAAGCUACAGGAGACUUAUGAGAAGCUUGUUGAGGAGGUGAACAACCUACUUGAUACCCAGGACAAUAUUCCGAAGGAAAAUGAAGUCCAACAAGGUGAACAUGAGGAGAUCACUCCUCCUUUGGACAACAAUAUUUCAGCUUUGAAGGAACAGCUGGGUGCAAUGGAUGCUGAGAACAAAGAACUGAAGCAAAAGGUUGACCAGUUGAAGAGCAUUCAGGUUGCCCAAGGUAAUGUGAUUAGGAAUCUGAAGUUUGCUCAUUUGAAGGAGAAGGAAAAGUUGAGCACUGAGAGGAGGAAUUUGGAGUUUCACAUUGCUGAUCUUGUCAAAGCUAGUGACAAGAACAAGAGAAAGUUGAAGGACAUCAAGGAUAUUUGCGAUGAAGAGUGAUUUGUAAUCGGACCAUGUGGGUCAUUAUCUUAAGUUUCAAGCAUUGAACUAUGGCUUGUAAUGUGUGAACUAGUGGCAGUUUGCAGUAUUUGAAGUAGGGUGUAGCCUUGAACUAUGUCUUGUAAGCUUUGAACUAUGGUGUCAUGAUGUUAACUAUGUUGUUAACUAUGGUGUCAUCAUGUUAACUAUGUUGUUAACUAGAGUUGUUAA
Non-coding RNA from Aegilops tauschii subsp. strangulata, 1894 nucleotides. The record is from RefSeq and is a predicted model, not a curated record. NCBI's taxonomy places the organism in Eukaryota, Viridiplantae, Streptophyta, Magnoliopsida, Poales, Poaceae.